CAUUCUGAAAGUGUGUGUGAAUGAGGGCAGCGCAGUCACAGCAAACGAAAUACAUACGUAAAUAAAAUAAAAACAAACCUGAUCACAUUCCUCAUCGUCGACAUCGAAGACUUUGUGUACUUUAGUUUACCUGCUGAUGGAAAAUCGCUCACAUCCUCCAUGCCAAUACCCGAAUCAAUCUGCAGGAAAUCGAUGCUAUCAGGUUCUUUCUUGUCAGGUUCAGUCAGAUUUAAUUCGGAUAAAUCUUUCGGGAGUUGCGACGACUCUUCCAAGACGAGCAAUCCACAGGAUUCCAGAGUAUUAUUAAGGACGGACUGCUCUUCGAUUGGACUUUCAUCAAUGGUGGUCGUUUCAGGUGGUCCGACCAAUGAUAAGGCAUUCAACGUAUCCACUAGCAAUGUAUCUUCUAAAAAGCUUCUCAUCAGCAUCCUCGGUGUGUCUUCGUUUAUGCGACGGCUCUUCGAUGUCUUCCAAAACUAACGACAACUCUGCAUUUUCGUGCAA
Molecule: long non-coding RNA, 504 nt
Organism: Drosophila albomicans
Lineage: Eukaryota; Metazoa; Arthropoda; Insecta; Diptera; Drosophilidae
Exons: 3
Source: RefSeq, a predicted model, not a curated record